Molecule: ribosomal RNA, 465 nt
Filed under: uncultured bacterium
Lineage: Bacteria
Description: bacterial SSU rRNA
Rfam family: Bacterial small subunit ribosomal RNA
Source: RNAcentral
GGACCCGCACAAGCGGUGGAGCAUGUGGUUUAAUUCGACGCAACGCGAAGAACCUUACCUAGGCUAGAAUGUGAGGGAAUGUUGGGUAACACCAUCAGUCUGAGAAAUCAGACCCAAAACAAGGUGCUGCAUGGCUGUCGUCAGCUCGUGUCGUGAGAUGUUGGGUUAAGUCCCGCAACGAGCGCAACCCUUAUCAACAGUUGCCAUCAUUAAGUUGGGAACUCUGUUGAGACUGCCGUUGAUAAAACGGAGGAAGGUGGGGAUGAUGUCAAGUCAUCAUGGCCUUUAUGCUUAGGGCUACACACGUGCUACAAUGGCCGGUACAAAACGUCGCAAUCCCGUAAGGGGGAGCUAAUCGCAAAAACCGGUCUCAGUUCGGAUUGAAGUCUGCAACUCGACUUCAUGAAGUUGGAAUCGCUAGUAAUCGCGGAUCAGAACGCCGCGGUGAAUACGUUCCCGGGUCUU